CUGCCCAUGAUCUCGACAGCCUUUUAUAUAACUCGCCAUCGGCGCCGCCCACCACAGGAGAAGAGCGCAAGAAGGGGAGGGCGAUCGGAGAGCAGGGCUAAGCUGGCCAGCUACGUCGGUGGCAAGAAGGGGAGGGCGAUCGGAGAGCAGCGCAAGAAGGUCACCAUGUUCCUGUACUCUGUACUCUGAGUUCUACGACGAGACGAACUGGACCGAAAACAACGCAUGAUAACACAUAUGGUGCUGAUAGUGGUGGGACCCAACCAAAAUCCCAAAGCUUACUUUUGAAGAAUUCAAGACUCUACGGUGAACACUGGUUGAAGCAAUAUUGACUUUUGAUUCAAGGAUGAAGUAUCGGUUUACCGUUGGAUCUUAAAAUAUAUCUUGCAGUAUUAUCCAUUAUAACAGACUCAAGAUCCAAGCAAUCUGCAAAGGCAACAACAGUCACCACACCUUGUGCCAAAGAUUCCAUGGUUUUUCUUCUGAAGGUAACACUGACCCAACAGUUGAGUCUGAGAAGUGAGAUAUUUAAAGCACUAGCAAGAGCAAAACUUAUAGUUGCCAAUAGGAAAGAAUCAUGCUACUCGAGGUGUGGAAGAACCGACAAAGGAGUUUCUGCUACUGGACAGGUAGUUGCAGAGUCCCUAUUAUUAUGGCGAGUAACUCAAACGACAGAGUCUAAUAAAUGCAUGUUCUGGAGUAAUACUUUGUAAAUCAUGGUCUUAGCUUUUAUGUGUUCUGGAGUAAUACUUCGUACUGACUUUAUUUGAUAUAUAAAGAACACUUUUCAAAA
This is a long non-coding RNA of Zea mays, 793 nucleotides long. RefSeq lists it as uncharacterized. Lineage: Eukaryota; Viridiplantae; Streptophyta; Magnoliopsida; Poales; Poaceae. The record is from RefSeq and is a predicted model, not a curated record. The transcript has 6 exons.